AGUAAAGUCAGCUAAUUAAGCUUUCGGGCCCAUACCCCGAAAAUGUGGUUUAAACCCCUCCUCUACUG
This 68-nucleotide transfer RNA is filed under the name Feylinia polylepis. RNAcentral's name for it is "tRNA-Met". The record is from RNAcentral. Lineage: Eukaryota; Metazoa; Chordata; Lepidosauria; Squamata; Scincidae.